This 1417-nucleotide ribosomal RNA is filed under the name uncultured organism. RNAcentral's name for it is "SSU rRNA". It matches the Rfam family "Bacterial small subunit ribosomal RNA". The record is from RNAcentral.
ACGCUGGCGGCGUGGAUAAGACAUGCAAGUCGAACGGGAGAAUUGCUAGCUUGCUAAUAAUUCUCUAGUGGCGCACGGGUGAGUAACACGUGAGUAACCUGCCUCUUAGUGGGGGAUAGCCCUGGGAAACCGGGAUUAAUACCGCAUACGAUUGAAAGAUCAAAGCAGCAAUGCGCUAGGAGAUGGGCUCGCGGCCUAUUAGUUAGUUGGUGAGGUAACGGCUCACCAAGGCGAUGACGGGUAGCCGGUCUGAGAGGAUGUCCGGCCACACUGGAACUGAGACACGGUCCAGACACCUACGGGUGGCAGCAGUCGAGAAUCAUUCACAAUGGGGGCAACCCUGAUGGUGCGACGCCGCGUGGGGGAAUGAAGGUCUUCGGAUUGUAAACCCCUGUCAUGUGGGAGCAAAUUAAAAAGAUAGUACCACAAGAGGAAGAGACGGCUAACUCUGUGCCAGCAGCCGCGGUAAUACAGAGGUCUCAAGCGUUGUUCGGAAUCACUGGGCGUAAAGCGUGCGUAGGCUGUUUCGUAAGUCGUGUGUGAAAGGCAGGGGCUCAACCCCUGGAUUGCACAUGAUACUGCGAGACUAGAGUAAUGGAGGGGGAACCGGAAUUCUCGGUGUAGCAGUGAAAUGCGUAGAUAUCGAGAGGAACACUCGUGGCGAAGGCGGGUUCCUGGACAUUAACUGACGCUGAGGCACGAAGGCCAGGGGAGCGAAAGGGAUUAGAUACCCCUGUAGUCCUGGCAGUAAACGGUGCACGCUUGGUGUGCGGGGAAUCGACCCCCUGCGUGCCGGAGCUAACGCGUUAAGCGUGCCGCCUGGGGAGUACGGUCGCAAGAUUAAAACUCAAAGAAAUUGACGGGGACCCGCACAAGCGGUGGAGUAUGUGGCUUAAUUCGAUGCAACGCGAAGAACCUUACCUGGGCUUGACAUGUAAUGAACAACAUGUGAAAGCAUGCGACUCUUCGGAGGCGUUACACAGGUGCUGCAUGGCCGUCGUCAGCUCGUGUCGUGAGAUGUUUGGUUAAGUCCAGCAACGAGCGCAACCCCUGUUGCCAGUUACCAGCACGUCAAGGUGGGGACUCUGGCGAGACUGCCCAGAUCAACUGGGAGGAAGGUGGGGACGACGUCAGGUCAGUAUGGCCCUUAUGCCCAGGGCUGCACACGUACUACAAUGCCCAGUACAGAGGGGGCCGAAGCCGCGAGGCGGAGGAAAUCCUGAAAACUGGGCCCAGUUCGGACUGUAGGCUGCAACCCGCCUACACGAAGCCGGAAUCGCUAGUAAUGGCGCAUCAGCUACGGCGCCGUGAAUACGUUCCCGGGUCUUGUACACACCGCCCGUCACAUCAUGGAAGCCGGUCGCACCCGAAGUAUCUGAAACGAACCGCAAGGAGGCAGGGUCCUAAGGUGAGACUC